Molecule: ribosomal RNA, 490 nt
Filed under: uncultured bacterium
Lineage: Bacteria
Description: partial 16S ribosomal RNA
Rfam family: Bacterial small subunit ribosomal RNA
Source: RNAcentral
AUUGAACGCUGGCGGCAGGCCUAACACAUGCAAGUCGAACGGUAACAGAAAGCAGCUUGCUGCUUUGCUGACGAGUGGCGGACGGGUGAGUAAUGUCUGGGAAACUGCCUGAUGGAGGGGGAUAACUACUGGAAACGGUAGCUAAUACCGCAUAACGUCGCAAGACCAAAGAGGGGGACCUUCGGGUCUCUUGCCAUCGGAUGUGCCCAGAUGGGAUUAGCUAGUAGGUGGGGUAACGGCUCACCUAGGCGACGAUCCCUAGCUGGUCUGAGAGGAUGACCAGCCACACUGGAACUGAGACACGGUCCAGACUCCUACGGGAGGCAGCAGUGGGGAAUAUUGCACAAUGGGCGCAAGCCUGAUGCAGCCAUGCCGCGUGUAUGAAGAAGGCCUUCGGGUUGUAAAGUACUUUCAGCGGGGAGGAAGGGAGUAAAGUUAAUACCUUUGCUCAUUGACGUUACCCGCAGAAGAAGCACCGGCUAACUCCGUG